GUUGGGUGACUUGAUCACUUAGUAACGUAGCUAACGCGCGAAGUUGACCGCCUGGGGAGUACGGUCGCAAGAUUAAAACUCAAAGGAAUUGANCGGGGGCCCGCACAAGCGGUGGAUGAUGUGGAUUAAUUCGAUGCAACGCGAAAAACCUUACCUACCCUUGACAUGCCAGGAAUCUCGCAGAGAUGUGAGGGUGCUCGAAAGAGAACCUGGACACAGGUGCUGCAUGGCUGUCGUCAGCUCGUGUCGUGAGAUGUUGGGUUAAGUCCCGCAACGAGCGCAACCCUUGCCAUUAGUUGCUACAUUUAGCUGGGCACUCUAAUGGGACUGCCGGUGACAAACCGGAGGAAGGUGGGGAUGACGUCAAGUCCUCAUGGCCCUUAUGGGUAGGGCUUCACACGUCAUACAAUGGUCGGUACAGAGGGUUGCCAACCCGCGAGGGGGAGCCAAUCCCAGAAAGCCGAUCGUAGUCCGGAUUGUAGUCUGCAACUCGACUGCAUGAAGUCGGAAUCGCUAGUAAUCGCGGAUCAGCAUGUCGCGGUGAAUACGUUCCCGGGCCUUGUACACACCGCCCGUCACACCAUGGGAGUGGGUUUCACCAGAAGUAGGUAGUCUAACCGNCAAGGGGGACGCUUACCACGGUGAGAUUCAUGACUGGGGUGAAGUCGUAANNAGGUACC
This 680-nucleotide ribosomal RNA is filed under the name uncultured bacterium. RNAcentral describes it as "bacterial SSU rRNA". It matches the Rfam family "Bacterial small subunit ribosomal RNA", at positions 822 to 1500 of the family's 1533-position model. The record is from RNAcentral.